Molecule: long non-coding RNA, 240 nt
Organism: Nothoprocta perdicaria
Lineage: Eukaryota; Metazoa; Chordata; Aves; Tinamiformes; Tinamidae
Exons: 2
Source: RefSeq, a predicted model, not a curated record
UAUUCGGUCUUGAACAAAUGAGCGCAUCAAGUAGAUAGAAGACAGGGAUAUAAAGGUAAGUAGGGGCACUUGCAAGCCCAUUUCUUGCACGAACUCGUUCAUCUGUUUUCCAUCAGGAAGCACGGGAUUGCAACAGCCACAUUUGGUGAGCAGGCAGGAACACAGGUGACACUUGGCUAAAGCUGUCUCAGUAGCACUCAGCCACAUGUGUUUCCCUGGAAGCCCUGGAGAAGGUGACGG